GCCGUGACUAGCAGGCAUCCACUGAGCAGGGUCUUUAUCGCUCUUGGAGCGGUUCGAGCUCGCUGUCACAGCA
RNAcentral lists this transfer RNA (73 nucleotides) under Aurantimicrobium photophilum. RNAcentral describes it as "Aurantimicrobium sp. MWH-Mo1 tRNA-OTHER". Lineage: Bacteria; Bacillati; Actinomycetota; Actinomycetes; Micrococcales; Microbacteriaceae. The record is from RNAcentral.